This 498-nucleotide ribosomal RNA is filed under the name uncultured bacterium. Its description in RNAcentral is "partial 16S ribosomal RNA". It matches the Rfam family "Bacterial small subunit ribosomal RNA", at positions 30 to 523 of the family's 1533-position model. The record is from RNAcentral.
AUUGAACGCUGGCGGCAUGCCUUACACAUGCAAGUCGAACGGUAACAGGUCUUCGGAUGCUGACGAGUGGCGAACGGGUGAGUAAUACAUCGGAACGUGCCUAGUAGUGGGGGAUAACUACUCGAAAGAGUGGCUAAUACCGCAUGAGAUCUACGGAUGAAAGCAGGGGAUCGCAAGACCUUGCGCUACUAGAGCGGCCGAUGGCAGAUUAGGUAGUUGGUGGGAUAAAAGCUUACCAAGCCGACGAUCUGUAGCUGGUCUGAGAGGACGAUCAGCCACACUGGGACUGAGAAACGGCCCAGACUCCUACGGGAGGCAGCAGUGGGGAAUUUUGGACAAUGGGCGCAAGCCUGAUCCAGCAAUGCCGCGUGCAGGAUGAAGGCCUUCGGGUUGUAAACUGCUUUUGUACGGAACGAAAAGCCCCGGGUUAAUACCCUGGGGUCAUGACGGUACCGUAAGAAUAAGCACCGGCUAACCACGUGCCAGCCGCCGCUGUAA